GAAAGUCUUAGGUAAUCAAAGAUGGUUUUUUUUUUAAUGACAUGGAUAGAUUUUUUUUUUUUUUUUCAACAUUUGCAAGCCAGUUCACCUGCAUCGUCUAUGCUUCUAGUUCCACAUUGUGCAUGCACUCAGCCCACAAAAACACAUUCUUAAAACAUGCUGAUCAAGGGCGUCUGAAACAAUCUCUACCCUUUUGAAGGAUAUCCAUAUCUAUUGGGAAAAAUGUAACCAUUUUUGUAUGAGGGCAGAUGGAGCUAGGCUUGGCUGGAUGCGUUAGGGUUGCAAGUUUGGCGGUGGCCUGUUAAGCAGACUCACGCAGCCAGAAUGCUGGCAAGUAUUGGGGAGUUUGGCUUUACGCCUGCCUAUUGCAUUUACUUAGUUCAGGUCUUCGUAAAGGAAGCAUCACAGACUCAUUAAGCGAUUCUUUCACAUUUUCCAGAGAUCCAAUGUUCUCAAAAUUCACUCCAAUAUCACCUGGUGGUAUCACAUUCUGCAGGAUCUUCUUCUCAAACUUAUUCUCAGUGGCAAUCUCCUAGAGAGCAUAACAAAAGUUUUAAGAAAGAUAACAAUCUCGUAGAUAGCAUAACAAGAGUUGUAAAUAAGAUAACAGUUUUGUUAUGCUAGGCAAAGUAGGAUACUGAUAUUAUAAAUCUUACCUUUUGUUUGAUCUGAAUAGCCUGUGGCUUAUUUUGAAUUU
This is a long non-coding RNA of Cryptomeria japonica (Japanese cedar), 697 nucleotides long. RefSeq lists it as uncharacterized. NCBI's taxonomy places the organism in Eukaryota, Viridiplantae, Streptophyta, Pinopsida, Cupressales, Cupressaceae. The transcript has 2 exons. The record is from RefSeq and is a predicted model, not a curated record.